UGGUUCUGGCAUCGAUGAAGAACGCAGCAAAAUGCGAUAAGUAAUGUGAAUUGCAGAAUUCAGUGAAUCAUCGAAUCUUUGAACGCACAUUGCGCCCGCCAGUAUUCUGGCGGGCAUGCCUGUUCGAGCGUCAUUUCAACCCUCAAGCCCAGCUUGGUGUUGGGACUCGCGAGUUAAACCGCGUUCCCCAAAUUGAUUGGCGGUCACGUCGAGCUUCCAUAGCGUAGUAGUAAAACCCUCGUUACUGGUAAUCGUCGCGGCCACGCCGUUAAACCCCAACUUCUGAAUGUUGACCUCGGAUCAGGUAGGAAUACCCGCUGA
RNAcentral lists this unclassified non-coding RNA (321 nucleotides) under uncultured fungus. RNAcentral describes it as "partial contains 5.8S ribosomal RNA and internal transcribed spacer 2". The stretch from base 1 to 133 matches the Rfam family "5.8S ribosomal RNA", at positions 22 to 154 of the family's 154-position model. The record is from RNAcentral. Lineage: Eukaryota; Fungi.